ACAUUCAGUUGCAGAACCAAAAGCAAAACCCAGCGAGCUUAGUAAGAAGAACCACCGCCGGUGACGGAACUGCUGUGUUUCCGAUCAGCGAUGUCACACAUACUCCUUCACCAUCCACACCCUCUGCCAAUCACGACCGUCCUCUCCAAAUCACUCUCAUUUUCCUUCCCGAAAUCAACGGCCCCCUUUCAUCUACAUCCACGGGCAAGAACGAUAAGGUGUAUGGCGAACCCGAGGAGAGUCAAAAUGGUGGCUAAGCAGAUCCAGAGAGAGCUAUCCGACAUGCUCCUUAAAGACAAGGUCCUUCAAUACGCUGUUCUUCCCGAAGCAUCCCUCGGAGCCGACCGUUACUUGUCUUCUCUCACCACCAUCAGCGAGGUCGAAGUCUCCGCUGAUUUGCAGGUGGUUAAAGUAUAUGUGUCUGUGUUUGGUGAUGAAAGAGGGAAGGAUGUCGCGAUUGCUGGACUGAAGUCAAAAGCUAAAUAUGUUCGCGGUGAGCUGGGCAAGAGAAUGAAGUUGCGGCUUACUCCUGAGAUACGCUUUAUAGAAGAUGAAUCUUUGGAGAGAGGAAGCAGAGUGAUUGCAAUAUUAGACAGGCUACAGGAUGAGAAAAAAACUACAGGAAGUCAAAGUGAAAAACUAGAUGAAUCAUCUGAUUUGUAUCAAGAUGACAGAGAUUGGGAUGGAGAUGACCCUGAUGAAGGCAUCAUUUACGUAGACUAGUUGCUUCAUUUGUUGCGUGACAUCAGGAUCAUUUUGAUUGUAGGUAUGCCCUCGCUUGUCACGGGUUGGAUACAAUAGACUUCUUGCUAAGAGAAGUAAGCAAGGGCACCCAGUAUCUUGAUUGGACACUAAGAGCAUGACAACCUAGCAGAACAUUCAAAAUUUUGCUCUUUGUUGGUAUAUCUUUUCACGCAUUUGUACAAGCGGGAAUCAACAUGGACAUUCAGGAUUUCUGGAAUGGACAAUUGUCAGUCUAAUGAAAUUUUUUGUAUCUAAUUGUCUGUCA
This is an RNA transcript of Tripterygium wilfordii, 1009 nucleotides long. It is a transcript of the gene named probable ribosome-binding factor A, chloroplastic, with no coding region annotated. The record is from RefSeq and is a predicted model, not a curated record. NCBI's taxonomy places the organism in Eukaryota, Viridiplantae, Streptophyta, Magnoliopsida, Celastrales, Celastraceae. The transcript is spliced from 4 exons.